GCUAGGCAGAAGUGUCUGCCCGGUAAAUGCGUGUUGUGAACCCUUCAGGUGAUGGGUUAACAGCCAGGUGGUGACUGGAUGACAUGUGGGAAGAGAGCUGUAGGCAGAAGAUCCAGUUUCAUCUUGUGCACAGGACAGAAGUGAAAUCUGGUAUGAAAAUAUGCUUCUGCGAGGCCCACGGAAACUGGAGCAAACCAUCCAUAUUCAUCUUCCUUUGGGGAAUGUUCCUGCUCAGCAUGUUCAAAUAUUUGG
Molecule: non-coding RNA, 252 nt
Organism: Peromyscus maniculatus bairdii (prairie deer mouse)
Lineage: Eukaryota; Metazoa; Chordata; Mammalia; Rodentia; Cricetidae
Source: RefSeq, a predicted model, not a curated record